This 25-nucleotide non-coding RNA is filed under the name Mus musculus (house mouse). Lineage: Eukaryota; Metazoa; Chordata; Mammalia; Rodentia; Muridae. The record is from RNAcentral.
UGAUUCUGGGAGGACAAAUGGCUGG